RNAcentral lists this ribosomal RNA (460 nucleotides) under uncultured bacterium. RNAcentral's name for it is "partial 16S ribosomal RNA". It matches the Rfam family "Bacterial small subunit ribosomal RNA", at positions 338 to 795 of the family's 1533-position model. The record is from RNAcentral.
CCUACGGGUGGCAGCAGUGAGGAAUAUUGGUCAAUGGCCGUGAGGCUGAACCAGCCAAGUCGCGUGAAGGAAGAAUGUUCUAUGGUUUGUAAACUUCUUUUAUCAGGGAAUAAAGGUAUCAACGUGUAGGUGUUUGCGUGUACCCGAUGAAUAAGCAUCGGCUAACUCCGUGCCAGCAGCCGCGGUAAUACGGAGGAUGCGAGCGUUAUCCGGAUUUAUUGGGUUUAAAGGGUGCGUAGGUGGUUUGUUAAGUCAGCGGUGAAAGCUUGCGGCUAAACCACAAAAUUGCCGUUGAAACUGGUAGACUUGAGUGUGUGGGAGGCAGGCGGAAUGCGUGGUGUAGCGGUGAAAUGCAUAGAUAUCACGCAGAACUCCGAUUGCGAAGGCAGCUUACUAGGCCAUAACUGACACUGAAGCACGAAAGCGUGGGGAUCAAACAGGAUUAGAUACCCUAGUAGUC